RNAcentral lists this transfer RNA (83 nucleotides) under Trametes coccinea BRFM310. RNAcentral describes it as "tRNA-Pro". It matches the Rfam family "tRNA". From Rfam's summary of the family: Transfer RNA (tRNA) molecules are approximately 80 nucleotides in length. Their secondary structure includes four short double-helical elements and three loops (D, anti-codon, and T loops). Further hydrogen bonds mediate the characteristic L-shaped molecular structure. tRNAs have two regions of fundamental functional importance: the anti-codon, which is responsible for specific mRNA codon recognition, and the 3' end, to which the tRNAs corresponding amino acid is attached (by aminoacyl-tRNA synthetases). tRNAs cope with the degeneracy of the genetic code in two manners: having more than one tRNA (with a specific anti-codon) for a particular amino acid; and 'wobble' base-pairing, i.e. permitting non-standard base-pairing at the 3rd anti-codon position. Lineage: Eukaryota; Fungi; Basidiomycota; Agaricomycetes; Polyporales; Polyporaceae. The record is from RNAcentral.
GGCCCAAUGGUCUAGUCGUAUGAUUCGCGCUUCGGGUUGUCCGAGCGUGCGCGAGGUCCCGGGUUCAAUUCCCGGUUGGGCCC